UACGUAGGGUGCAAGCGUUGUCCGGAAUUAUUGGGCGUAAAGAGCUCGUAGGCGGUCUGUCGCGUCGGCUGUGAAAUCCCGAGGCUCAACCUCGGGUCUGCAGUCGAUACGGGCAAACUGGAGUGUUGCAGGGGAGACUGGAAUUCCUGGUGUAGCGGUGAAAUGCGUAGAGAUCAGGAGGAACACCCGUGGCGAAGGCGGCACUCUGGGUCGGCCCUGACGCUGAGGCGCGAAAGCGUGGGGAGCGAACGGG
This 253-nucleotide ribosomal RNA is filed under the name uncultured bacterium. RNAcentral's name for it is "partial 16S ribosomal RNA". It matches the Rfam family "Bacterial small subunit ribosomal RNA", at positions 524 to 776 of the family's 1533-position model. The record is from RNAcentral.